UACGUAGGGGGCAAGCGUUGUCCGGAUUUAUUGGGCGUAAAGAGCGUGUAGGCGGUUCGGUAAGUCUGUCGUGAAAUCCUGAGGCUCAACCUUGGACGUGCGAUGGAUACUGCCGGGCUAGAGGAUGGUAGAGGCGAGUGGAAUUCCCGGUGUAGCGGUGAAAUGCGCAGAUAUCGGGAGGAACACCAGUAGCGAAGGCGGCUCGCUGGGCCAUUCCUGACGCUGAGACGCGAAAGCUAGGGGAGCGAACAGG
This 253-nucleotide ribosomal RNA is filed under the name uncultured bacterium. RNAcentral's name for it is "partial 16S ribosomal RNA". It matches the Rfam family "Bacterial small subunit ribosomal RNA", at positions 524 to 776 of the family's 1533-position model. The record is from RNAcentral.